Molecule: transfer RNA, 57 nt
Filed under: Bos taurus (domestic cattle)
Lineage: Eukaryota; Metazoa; Chordata; Mammalia; Artiodactyla; Bovidae
Also listed under: 4 other names
Rfam family: tRNA
About the family: Transfer RNA (tRNA) molecules are approximately 80 nucleotides in length. Their secondary structure includes four short double-helical elements and three loops (D, anti-codon, and T loops).
Source: Rfam by way of RNAcentral
UAGCUCAGAUGGUAGAGCCUCUGCCUGCAAUGUGGGAGACCCAGGUUCAAUCCCUGG